Molecule: transfer RNA, 66 nt
Filed under: Luciola sp. FM20
Lineage: Eukaryota; Metazoa; Arthropoda; Insecta; Coleoptera; Lampyridae
Description: tRNA-Ser
Source: RNAcentral
AGUUUAUGAACUUGUAAAAGUAUAUAUUUUGAAAAUAUAAAAAAAGAAUAAGCUUCUUAUAAACUU